UUAAAUUGAAGAGUUUGAUCAUGGCUCAGAUUGAACGCUGGCGGCAGGCCUAACACAUGCAAGUCGAACGGUAACAGGAAACAGCUUGCUGUUUCGCUGACGAGUGGCGGACGGGUGAGUAAUGUCUGGGAAACUGCCUGAU
Molecule: ribosomal RNA, 142 nt
Filed under: Escherichia coli
Lineage: Bacteria; Pseudomonadati; Pseudomonadota; Gammaproteobacteria; Enterobacterales; Enterobacteriaceae
Description: partial 16S ribosomal RNA
Rfam family: Bacterial small subunit ribosomal RNA
Source: RNAcentral